RNAcentral lists this ribosomal RNA (457 nucleotides) under Rhipicephalus sanguineus (brown dog tick). Its description in RNAcentral is "partial 16S ribosomal RNA". The stretch from base 312 to 457 matches the Rfam family "Bacterial large subunit ribosomal RNA", at positions 2473 to 2619 of the family's 2925-position model. The record is from RNAcentral. Lineage: Eukaryota; Metazoa; Arthropoda; Arachnida; Ixodida; Ixodidae.
GCUCAAUGAUUUUUUAAAUUGCUGUAGUAUUUUGACUAUACAAAGGUAUUGAAAUAAGAUUUUAAUUGAAUGCUAAGAGAAUGGAAGUCCAGAAAAAAACUUUUUUUAAAUUAAAAAUUGAAGUUUUUUUAAUUUGUGCAGAAACAAUUAUUUAUAUUAAAGACAAGAAGACCCUAUGAAUUUAUUAAAUUUUUAUUUAAUAUGUAAUUACUAUUAGAAAAAUUUUGGCGUGGGGCGGGCUAGAAACAUAUUAUGAACUUUUUAAAAAUAAAAUGAUCCAUUAUUAAUGAUUUUAUGUUAAAUACUCUAGGGAUAACAGCGUUAUAUUUUUUGAUAGAUCAUAUUGACAAAAAAGUUUGCGACCUCGAUGUUGGAUUAGGAUACUUUUUUAAUGAAGAUAUUAAAAAAAGAAGUUUGUUCAACUUUUAAUUUCCUACUUGAUCUGAGUUCAGACCGG